Astatotilapia calliptera (eastern happy) is the source of this 1041-nucleotide long non-coding RNA. NCBI's taxonomy places the organism in Eukaryota, Metazoa, Chordata, Actinopteri, Cichliformes, Cichlidae. The record is from Ensembl.
UCCACAAUCACUCUUUUAGAGAAAAUCAGUUUAACAGGUAAAUAUCUGCCUUUUUCAACAACAGCUGGUUGUUUCAUCAGAUGAUUGUUGAUGAGUGACAGGUGCGAUGAGACUGCAGCCGCCAUGCUGGAGUGAAACAGGAGGAUUUGAGAGGAAGCUCACAGUGGGAAAGAUGAAAAGUCUCCAACAUGGAGACGGAGCAGGUGUGUGUGUGUGUGUGUGUGUGUGUGUGUGUGUGUGUGUGUGUGUGGCACUAACACCUGACAUGGAGAUGACAGGUUAGUGAUGUCAUCACAAGGAUUUUGGGGAAACAGAAGGCAGGUGAAUCAACAGCUCACUGGGAUGUUCAGCGUGCAGGCCGUCUGCGACCUUUGCCCUCUGUUCUGCCUGCGCUCCUCCGGGACUUGGACACCUCUCCGCAGUUCCGACCUCACAUCCAGACGGAUGCUGCGGCCUUCACUGAUUUUUGGGGGGGUAAAUUAAAUUUCUGUGAAAAGUUGACCUCUGUUAAGGUUCACAUAAUUGAGGAAGGAGAGUACAAACAACCAGGUCCAGAAGAUCUUGGUCAAACAAUUGAUUUUAAUGAAUACACGCGUGGGAAGACCAUUCUGUAUGCAGACCGGAAUUGAUCUUCGACUUAAUCAAAGCAUACACAGAUUUUAUAGCAUCAGGGUUUGAAUUAAUGACGCCCCUUCAUACGUCACAGACAGAAUAUAUACACACGUCAAAACAUGAUUAAACUUCCACCUAUAAAUGAUUCUCUCUAACUGAGUGUGUGUGUGUGUGUGUGUGUGUGUGUGUGUGUGUGUCGUCCUCAAAUGCUCUCUCAUCUCACCCGUUGCACUUCUGACCUUUUACCAGACCAGAGGCUCAUCCUUAUGUGUAAUAACCUAACUGAAACUACAUGUACUAUGUUGAAUAAAUGUUUUAAUCAAGAACCUCUACUAAGAGCUUAAUAAAAGAAUAUAAAAGUAUAACAGACAAUUUGAAUAACCUAGUAAUUCAAAUAGCCUCGUCUAACCUGCUCAGAAUGACUUUCGG